CGGCGUCGAGCGGCGGACGGGUGAGUAAUGCCUAGGAAAUUGCCCUGAUGUGGGGGAUAACCAUUGGAAACGAUGGCUAAUACCGCAUGAUGCCUACGGGCCAAAGAGGGGGACCUUCGGGCCUCUCGCGUCAGGAUAUGCCUAGGUGGGAUUAGCUAGUUGGUGAGGUAAGGGCUCACCAAGGCGACGAUCCCUAGCUGGUCUGAGAGGAUGAUCAGCCACACUGGAACUGAGACACGGUCCAGACUCCUACGGGAGGCAGCAGUGGGGAAUAUUGCACAAUGGGCGCAAGCCUGAUGCAGCCAUGCCGCGUGUGUGAAGAAGGCCUUCGGGUUGUAAAGCACUUUCAGUCGUGAGGAAGGUAGUGUAGUUAAUAGCUGCAUUAUUUGACGUUAGCGACAGAAGAAGCACCGGCUAACUCCGUGCCAGCAGCCGCGGUAAUACGGAGGGUGCGAGCGUUAAUCGGAAUUACUGGGCGUAAAGCGCAUGCAGGUGGUUUGUUAAGUCAGAUGUGAAAGCCCGGGGCUCAACCUCGGAAUUGCAUUUGAAACUGGCAGACUAGAGUACUGUAGAGGGGGGUAGAAUUUCAGGUGUAGCGGUGAAAUGCGUAGAGAUCUGAAGGAAUACCGGUGGCGAAGGCGGCCCCCUGGACAGAUACUGACACUCAGAUGCGAAAGCGUGGGGAGCAAACAGGAUUAGAUACCCUGGUAGUCCACGCCGUAAACGAUGUCUACUUGGAGGUUGUGGCCUUGAGCCGUGGCUUUCGGAGCUAACGCGUUAAGUAGACCGCCUGGGGAGUACGGUCGCAAGAUUAAAACUCAAAUGAAUUGACGGGGGCCCGCACAAGCGGUGGAGCAUGUGGUUUAAUUCGAUGCAACGCGAAGAACCUUACCUACUCUUGACAUCCAGAGAACUUUCCAGAGAUGGAUUGGUGCCUUCGGGAACUCUGAGACAGGUGCUGCAUGGCUGUCGUCAGCUCGUGUUGUGAAAUGUUGGGUUAAGUCCCGCAACGAGCGCAACCCUUAUCCUUGUUUGCCAGCGAGUAAUGUCGGGAACUCCAGGGAGACUGCCGGUGAUAAACCGGAGGAAGGUGGGGACGACGUCAAGUCAUCAUGGCCCUUACGAGUAGGGCUACACACGUGCUACAAUGGCGCAUACAGAGGGCRGCCAACUUGCGAAAGUGAGCGAAUCCCAAAAAGUGCGUCGUAGUCCGGAUUGGAGUCUGCAACUCGACUCCAUGAAGUCGGAAUCGCUAGUAAUCGUGGAUCAGAAUGCCACGGUGAAUACGUUCCCGGGCCUUGUACACACCGCCCGUCACACCAUGGGAGUGGGCUGCAAAAGAAGUAGGUAGUUUAACCUUCGGGGGG
Molecule: ribosomal RNA, 1367 nt
Filed under: Vibrio parahaemolyticus
Lineage: Bacteria; Pseudomonadati; Pseudomonadota; Gammaproteobacteria; Vibrionales; Vibrionaceae
Description: bacterial SSU rRNA
Source: RNAcentral